GUUAUCGUAGCUCAAUGGUAGAGCAAGUCACUGUUAAUGACCUGAUAGUGGUUCAAUUCCAUUCGGUAACG
RNAcentral lists this transfer RNA (71 nucleotides) under Schizosaccharomyces octosporus. Its description in RNAcentral is "tRNA-Asn". It matches the Rfam family "tRNA". From Rfam's summary of the family: Transfer RNA (tRNA) molecules are approximately 80 nucleotides in length. Their secondary structure includes four short double-helical elements and three loops (D, anti-codon, and T loops). Lineage: Eukaryota; Fungi; Ascomycota; Schizosaccharomycetes; Schizosaccharomycetales; Schizosaccharomycetaceae. The record is from RNAcentral.